CUCCACGGAUGCAUGGAUACUACAAACUGUGCGCGGUUACGUCAUCAACUUUGUGGACCAUCCGCUUCAAAUGGACCCACACCGACCUAUCAACUGCUCAGCAAACGACGCCAGACUCAUUGACGUUGAACUACAGGAACUAUGCUCGAAGGGCACGAACGAACCUGCUUCCGAACCCGGGGGUUUCUUCAGCAAUAUGUUGCUAGUAAAAUAGAAAACCGGAGAAUUCCGUCUCGUUAUCAACUUAAGACGACACAACGUGUACAGGAUGUACCGCCACUUCAAGAUGGAGGGCAUCUCUUAAGGGACCUCCUUUAAGACGGAGACUGGUUCACAAGAUUGGA
Non-coding RNA from Pelobates cultripes (western spadefoot toad), 344 nucleotides. The record is from the annotation of a GenBank genome assembly. Lineage: Eukaryota; Metazoa; Chordata; Amphibia; Anura; Pelobatidae.